This 194-nucleotide ribosomal RNA is filed under the name uncultured bacterium. Its description in RNAcentral is "partial 16S ribosomal RNA". It matches the Rfam family "Bacterial small subunit ribosomal RNA", at positions 338 to 524 of the family's 1533-position model. The record is from RNAcentral.
CCUACGGGAGGCAGCAGCUAAGAAUAUUCCGCAAUGCACGAAAGUGUGACGGAGCGACGCCGCGUGGACGAUGAAGGCCGGAAGGUUGUAAAGUCCUUUUAUAACUGAGGAAUAAGCCGUGCAGGGAAUGGCAUGGUGGUGACUGUAGGUUAUGAAUAAGCACCGGCUAAUUACGUGCCAGCAGCCGCGGUAAU